GCCUGAUCAGCGACGCCGCGUGGAUGAGAAGGCCUUAGGGUUGUAAAGCCCUUUCACCGGGGAAAAUGAUGAUGUUACCCGGAGAAGAAGCACCGGCUAACUCCGUGCCAGCAGCCGCGGUAAUA
RNAcentral lists this ribosomal RNA (125 nucleotides) under uncultured bacterium. RNAcentral describes it as "partial 16S ribosomal RNA". It matches the Rfam family "Bacterial small subunit ribosomal RNA", at positions 381 to 525 of the family's 1533-position model. The record is from RNAcentral.